CAAAGAUAAAGAAAAAAUCUUGAAAGAAGCCAGAGGAACAAAACACUCUGCCUAGAGUAGAAGAAAGAUAAGAAUUAAUUUGACUUCUCAGAAACCAUACAAGCAAGAAGACAGUAGAGUGAAAUAAUCAAUUUUUGAGAGAAAAAAGCCACCAAUCUAGAAUUCUGUACCUUGUGAAAUUAUCCUUCAAAAGUGAAGGAGAAAUAAAGACCUUCUCAGACAAACACAAAUUGAGGGAAUUUGUUGCUAGUAGAUCUGACUUGCAAGAAAUGUUGAAAGAAGUUCUUUGAAGAGCAGCAAAAUGAGAGAUCAGAAACUCAGAUCUACAUAAAGGAAGGAAGAGCAUCAAAAAAGGAAUAAGUGGAGUUGUCUUCCAGGGUGGCUGUACCAUUUUGCAUUCCUCCCAGCAAUGUAUUGGAACAAUGUUCUAACAUGUGAAAGCACCCUCGUCAGCACUUGGAUAGAACCUGAUAAACGACAAGCAUUCUGCAAACAUCCCAUAGAAAUCACCUCCUAGAUUCUGAGCCAGUGACAUUUGCUGAGUUCUGCACUAUCAACCGGAUCUCUUUGUUUUCUUCUUCUGUUUUGAAUCCACACCUAAAAUGGGACAAAAUCUACCAGCCAGAAUAACCUGAUUGAGAAAUCAGCCAUAACUGGUUUUCUUGGCUGUAGACUCUUCAGGAAAGAAUGUGAAGUAUUUUUCCCACAUCCUCCCAGGAGGGCCACCAGGGGCUCCAGUCCUGGAGGUCGAGGAGCAUUGGAGCUGGUUCUGCAGUUGGGGAGUGGGAGUAGCCUUACCUGUCGGACAGUGACUUCCAGUAUCUGAGAAGAGGGUGGGAGAUCAUGAGCGUCCACAAGUGGCAGAAGUUGAGAUCCAAAUGGAACACACACACCCUCCCACCUCCCAGGAUGGCAAAACCUGGUACAGAGAUGGCUGUAAGGAGGAGGCUGGAAGAAAGACCACUAAGUGGCCAGUUAUUGGGCAAAGCCACUGUGAGUGGGCAGCUCACCAGCCUGCCUGGAGAAGCAGUGCCCACAGACAGGAAGCACCAGCAUUCAGCAAGGAGCACAAGGAGCAACUGUAACUGUGGCCAUCUCUACUGAAUAAGGACCAGCUGCCCCAGUUCUACAAGAUCGAGUCCUUUGCUUGUUUGGGAGAUUUUUUGUGCCUUUUGUUUUUGUAAAAUCCAACGUUCCGAGGGAAGAAGCCCUAAUAAUGACAUUAAAUUUCUCACUAACUGUGGAUGGGACUUGGGACCAGAUUUAAAUAAACUUGGACAAAUAAAGAACAUUGGCAUUUUGUUUCCCA
This 1309-nucleotide long non-coding RNA is filed under the name Equus caballus (horse). RNAcentral describes it as "lncRNA (ENSECAG00000048518.1)". Lineage: Eukaryota; Metazoa; Chordata; Mammalia; Perissodactyla; Equidae. The record is from RNAcentral.